Molecule: transfer RNA, 66 nt
Filed under: Neonemura barrosi
Lineage: Eukaryota; Metazoa; Arthropoda; Insecta; Plecoptera; Notonemouridae
Description: tRNA-Ile
Source: RNAcentral
AAUGAAGUGCCUGAUUAAAGGGUCAUCUUGAUAGGGUGAAUAAAGUAAUUUUUAUUACCUUCAUUA